RNAcentral lists this ribosomal RNA (449 nucleotides) under uncultured bacterium. RNAcentral describes it as "SSU rRNA". It matches the Rfam family "Bacterial small subunit ribosomal RNA", at positions 26 to 518 of the family's 1533-position model. The record is from RNAcentral.
AGAACGAACGCUGGCGGCAGGCUUAACACAUGCAAGUCGAACGCGUGUAGCAAUACACGAGUGGCGCACGGGUGAGUAACGCGUGGAUAUCUGCCUUUUGGUUCGGAAUAACCCCGGGAAACUGGGGCUAAUACCGGAUGGUUCCUACGGGAUAAAGAUUUAUCGCCAAAAGAUGAGUCCGCGUACGAUUAGCUAGUUGGUGAGGUAAUGGCUCACCAAGGCGACGAUCGUUAGCUGGUCUGAGAGGACGAUCAGCCACACUGGGACUGAGACACGGCCCAGACUCCUACGGGAGGCAGCAGUGGGGAAUAUUGGACAAUGGGGGCAACCCUGAUCCAGCCAUGCCGCGUGAGUGAUGAAGGCCUUCGGGUUGUAAAGCUCUUUUGGCGGGGACGAUGAUGGCGGUACCCGCAGAAUAACGCCCCGGCUAACUUCGCGCCAGCAGCCGC